Molecule: ribosomal RNA, 463 nt
Filed under: uncultured bacterium
Lineage: Bacteria
Description: partial 16S ribosomal RNA
Rfam family: Bacterial small subunit ribosomal RNA
Source: RNAcentral
ACGCUGGCGGCGUGCUUAACACAUGCAAGUCGAACGGAAAGGCCCUGCUUUUGUGGGGUGCUCGAGUGGCGACCGGGUGAGUAACACGUGAGUAACCUGCCCUUGACUUUGGGAUAACUUCAGGAAACUGGGGCUAAUACCGGAUAGGAGCUCCUGCUGCAUGGUGGGGGUUGGAAAGUUUCGGCGGUUGGGGAUGGACUCGCGGCUUAUCAGCUUGUUGGUGGGGUAGUGGCUUACCAAGGCUUUGACGGGUAGCCGGCCUGAGAGGGUGACCGGCCACAUUGGGACUGAGAUACGGCCCAGACUCCUACGGGAGGCAGCAGUGGGGAAUAUUGCACAAUGGGCGGAAGCCUGAUGCAGCAACGCCGCGUGCGGGAUGACGGCCUUCGGGUUGUAAACCGCUUUCGCCUGUGACGAAGCGUGAGUGACGGUAAUGGGUAAAGAAGCACCGGCUAACUAUGUG